Molecule: long non-coding RNA, 1633 nt
Organism: Anser brachyrhynchus (Pink-footed goose)
Lineage: Eukaryota; Metazoa; Chordata; Aves; Anseriformes; Anatidae
Source: Ensembl
GCUACCCUUUCUUGCUGCUUAUCCAAAGAUGAAAUCUCCCUGCGUUGCUGAAGUGCCUGAGUGCCUGACCAUGGGCAGUACGUGGGCAACCGAGCGUCACCAUGCCCAGCAGACACAAGGCUCCCCCAGCCCUUCUGCCUGAGCGUUUCUGGAAACAGGUCACGGAGAUCUGCUCCGAAGAAGUGGACUCAUCUGUCGUGCAGAGGAAGGAGAAAUAAAAACCUCUGGUAUUAUCUUUUUCCCUACAAAAUAUUAUGGGGAAAGGCUAUGGCGAGAACCUUCCCUGCCGGAUGCCGUCUUCAAUGUGGGUACCCCCGUUUCAGAGCUGGGAUCUGCACCUGGACCUCCCGACAGUCACGUUACCUUCAGGGUACGGGUAUUGAAGAUGAUAUACAGCCAUAAUCUUAGAUUAUGAUGAAGCUGCACCUAAACUUCUGCCAGUAUCGCUUGCUGCACUCAUCCAGAUGCGGAGAGACUGCUGGAAGGAAAGACCAUGUCCAGGGUCCCUCAUCCCCGAGCCAGGAUGCACAGGAGGGCUGCCAGUUGUGUAUCCUCCCUUGUCAUCAUGGAAAUCUGGACCGACUUCAACACAUGCUUAUUUCAAAACAUACAAAUAAGGCAAUCAGAUACUGAUGUUCAGAGCAUUUACCUCCCUGUUUACCCAAAUUUUGUUGAAGAGCCCUUGAGAUAAGUAGGAGUGCUGCAGCCACAGGUGAAAUCUCUCCUUUCUUUAGCCACCUGUAGAUUACUAUGAUAUAUUCUUGUUUGAAACAGCAGCUGCCCAAAAGGAGGUGCUUGUGUGAAUGCUACCUUGAGGGGGGAGACAGUGCAAGGGAGGAUGAAAACUUCUCUGACGUUUUUCAGAAUACAGUUAUGCCCUGAGAAUCACUACUUUACUCCUGUUCCGCAACACAUAAAUACACGUCAGAUGUGUGGUAAACCAAAUUCUCUCAGGAGCUUGUCCUGAAAGAGGAAAAGACACGAUGAUUUAAAGGCUACAUCUGCAGUUCUUGCAGCUGCUUUGGUUCCUGCUGCUGGAGGAAAAUUCCCUGCAUCAACAGCCUCUUGACGCAGGGGCUUGGAGCAGCUCCUGAGGCAAAAACCCAAAUGAACCAAGCACUGUCACUAGCCUGUUGGACAAGAGAGGAGUGGGAAGCCACCGUGCAGCUCACAGGAACGCGGUCACUUCUGCUGUCAGAUGCCCCUUCUGGCAUUACCUUUCCUGCUGCGUUGCAAGUGGAAGAGGACUCCAACCCAUGUAACACUAAUUGCAUUCUCCAAAAUCUGUGGAAAGUAAGAUUAGACCAGGCAACUUCCUAAACAAAGUGAAGGUCAGCAUGGUGUGGUACUGGCUUGGCAUACCCUUGUAUUAAAACUCACAGGAGGAGCUGUUGAAGGCUGUGAAGCCUGCUGGAAUGUCUUCAGUUGUAGGAAACACGUGCGACAUUUCUGUAAGAAGGCAGCUGAAGAUGUGAGGAUGUUCUGGAAUGAAGGCUUGCACAACCUCUGUGUUUUGACGUUAUUCUCCUUGGUGAUUGACUGGGAACGUAGCAGCUCCAGCUACCGCAGCAGUGCGGUGUGAUUCCUUCCAGCCUACAUUGUAAAAACCACCUUCGUAUUAAACAUCGCUCCU